GCCAUACAAUAUGUUUUCAGAGACAAAAGCACUCAGUGCUGAGAUGACCUUUCUCUAUUACCUUUGACUGAUGGCA
This 76-nucleotide small nucleolar RNA is filed under the name Phascolarctos cinereus (koala). Its description in RNAcentral is "Small nucleolar RNA SNORD83 (ENSPCIG00000036483.1)". It matches the Rfam family "Small nucleolar RNA SNORD83". Rfam says of the family: U83 (SNORD83) and U84 (SNORD84) are members of the C/D class of snoRNA which contain the C (UGAUGA) and D (CUGA) box motifs. They act as guanine methylation guides but lack complementarity to ribosomal RNA. The record is from Rfam by way of RNAcentral. Lineage: Eukaryota; Metazoa; Chordata; Mammalia; Diprotodontia; Phascolarctidae.